GUUCCCGGAGCGGAUCACGGUGCUGGACCAGCACCUGAGGCCACCAGCCCGCCGACCCGGAACCACAACGCCAGCCCGUGUUGAUCUACAGCAGCAAAUUAUGACCAUUAUAGAUGAACUGGGCAAGGCUUCUGCCAAGGCCCAGAAUCUUUCCGCUCCCAUCACUAGUGCAUCAAGGAUGCAGAGUAACCGCCAUGUUGUUUAUAUUCUCAAAGACAGUUCAGCCCGACCGGCUGGAAAAGGAGCCAUUAUUGGUUUCAUCAAAGUUGGAUACAAGAAGCUCUUUGUACUGGAUGAUCGUGAGGCUCAUAAUGAGGUAGAACCACUUUGCAUCCUGGACUUUUACAUCCAUGAGUCUGUGCAACGCCAUGGCCAUGGGCGAGAACUCUUCCAGUAUAUGUUGCAGAAGGAGCGAGUGGAACCGCACCAACUGGCGAUUGACCGACCCUCACAGAAGCUGCUGAAAUUCCUGAAUAAGCACUACAAUCUGGAGACCACAGUCCCACAGGUGAACAACUUUGUGAUCUUUGAAGGCUUCUUUGCCCAUCAACAUCGGCCCCCUGCUCCCUCUCUGAGGGCAACUCGACACUCUCGUGCUGCUGCAGUCGAUCCCACGCCCGCUGGUAAAGCCUGUAUUGAAGGGGUGGAACUGUAGUGCAGUGAUGGCUACUUACUCUAGAUGCCACGGGGUACAGUGCCAUCUGUGGGCAAUUUUGGA
This 718-nucleotide small RNA is filed under the name Pongo abelii (Sumatran orangutan). RNAcentral describes it as "retained intron". The record is from RNAcentral. Lineage: Eukaryota; Metazoa; Chordata; Mammalia; Primates; Hominidae.